RNAcentral lists this long non-coding RNA (497 nucleotides) under Arabidopsis lyrata. RNAcentral describes it as "long non-coding RNA (ALYR_LNC000715)". The record is from RNAcentral. Lineage: Eukaryota; Viridiplantae; Streptophyta; Magnoliopsida; Brassicales; Brassicaceae.
CUCUCUUUAUACUUUCGAAUAAAAGUUACUGUUUAAUCUUUUUUCACCAUUUACUGUUUGGAAAAACCUCAAUUUAACGUGGGUUUGUUUUGGUUACUUAGUUUUUACGUAGACGAUGUGCCAAUAAGAGAAUACAAAAACAACGAAGCCAAGAACAUUGCUUACCCAACAUCACAACCUAUGGGAGUUUACUCAACAUUAUGGGAAGCCGAUGACUGGGCGACACGUGGCGGAUUAGAGAAAAUUGAUUGGAGCAAAGCUCCGUUUUAUGCUUAUUACAAAGAUUUCGACAUCGAAGGUUGUCCUGUUCCCGGACCAACCUUUUGUCCAUCGAACCCUCACAAUUGGUGGGAGGGUUAUGCCUAUCAGUCUCUUAACGCCCUCGAAGCUCGACGUUACCGGUGGGUUAGAGUAAACCAUAUGGUUUAUGAUUAUUGUACCGACCGGUCUAGGUUUCCUGUCCCACCACCGGAGUGUCGUGCUUGAAAAUAAUUCCA